GACGAACGCUGGCGGCGUGCCUAAUACAUGCAAGUAGAACGCUGAAGGAGGAGCUUGCUUCUCUGGAUGAGUUGCGAACGGGUGAGUAACGCGUAGGUAACCUGCCUGGUAGCGGGGGAUAACUAUUGGAAACGAUAGCUAAUACCGCAUAAUAGUAGAUGUCGCAUGACAUUUGCUUAAAAGGUGCAAUUGCAUCACUACCAGAUGGACCUGCGUUGUAUUAGCUAGUUGGUGAGGUAACGGCUCACCAAGGCAACGAUACAUAGCCGACCUGAGAGGGUGAGCGGCCACACUGGGACUGAGACACGGCCCAGACUCCUACGGGAGGCAGCAGUAGGGAAUCUUCGGCAAUGGACGGAAGUCUGACCGAGCAACGCCGCGUGAGUGAAGAAGGUUUUCGGAUCGUAAAGCUCUGUUGUAAGAGAAGAACGAGUGUGAGAGUGGAAAGUUCACACUGUGACGGUAUCUUACCAGAAAGGGACGGCUAACUACGUG
RNAcentral lists this ribosomal RNA (495 nucleotides) under uncultured bacterium. RNAcentral describes it as "partial 16S ribosomal RNA". It matches the Rfam family "Bacterial small subunit ribosomal RNA", at positions 28 to 507 of the family's 1533-position model. The record is from RNAcentral.